Molecule: ribosomal RNA, 253 nt
Filed under: uncultured bacterium
Lineage: Bacteria
Description: partial 16S ribosomal RNA
Rfam family: Bacterial small subunit ribosomal RNA
Source: RNAcentral
UACGUAGGCAGCGAGCGUUGUUCGGAGUUACUGGGCGUAAAGGGUGUGUAGGCGGUUCUUUAAGUUUGGUGUGAAAUCUCCCGGCUCAACCGGGAGGGUGCGCCGAAUACUGAGGGACUAGAGUGCGGGAGAGGAAAGUGGAAUUCCUGGUGUAGCGGUGAAAUGCGUAGAUAUCAGGAGGAACACCGGUGGUGUAGACGGCCUUCUGGACGGUGACUGACGCUGAGGCGCGAAAGCGUGGGGAGCAAACGGG